Molecule: transfer RNA, 55 nt
Filed under: Dipodomys ordii (Ord's kangaroo rat)
Lineage: Eukaryota; Metazoa; Chordata; Mammalia; Rodentia; Heteromyidae
Rfam family: tRNA
About the family: Transfer RNA (tRNA) molecules are approximately 80 nucleotides in length. Their secondary structure includes four short double-helical elements and three loops (D, anti-codon, and T loops). Further hydrogen bonds mediate the characteristic L-shaped molecular structure. tRNAs have two regions of fundamental functional importance: the anti-codon, which is responsible for specific mRNA codon recognition, and the 3' end, to which the tRNAs corresponding amino acid is attached (by aminoacyl-tRNA synthetases). tRNAs cope with the degeneracy of the genetic code in two manners: having more than one tRNA (with a specific anti-codon) for a particular amino acid; and 'wobble' base-pairing, i.e. permitting non-standard base-pairing at the 3rd anti-codon position.
Source: Rfam by way of RNAcentral
GGGAAGGUGGCUCAGUGGUAGAGUGCUUGCCUUGCAGGCAUGAGGCCCUGGGUUC